UGGGGAAUAUUGGACAAUGGGCGCAAGCCUGAUCCAGCCAUGCCGCGUGAGUGACGAAGGCCUUAGGGUUGUAAAGCUCUUUUGGCGGGGAAGAUAAUGACGGUACCCGCAGAAUAAGCUCCGGCUAACUUCGUGCCAGCAGCCGCGGUAAUACGAAGGGAGCUAGCGUUGUUCGGAAUCACUGGGCGUAAAGCGCACGUAGGUGGGCAGUUAAGUCAGGGGUGAAAGCCCGAGGCUCAACCUCGGAAUUGCCUCUGAUACUGGCUGUCUAGAGUUCGAGAGAGGUGAGUGGAAUUCCUAGUGUAGAGGUGAAAUUCGUAGAUAUUAGGAAGAACACCGGUGGCGAAGGCGGCUCACUGGCUCGAUACUGACGCUGAGGCGCGAAAGUUAGGGGAUCAAACAGGAUUAGAUACCCCUGUAGUCCCUGAGCGGGCUGGCAAGGCGCAU
RNAcentral lists this ribosomal RNA (447 nucleotides) under uncultured bacterium. RNAcentral describes it as "bacterial SSU rRNA". It matches the Rfam family "Bacterial small subunit ribosomal RNA", at positions 355 to 825 of the family's 1533-position model. The record is from RNAcentral.